CGGCUAGCGGCGUGCGUGUGGCCGCGGGAAUAUGGAGGGUGCGAUCGUGAAUCGGGAGUACUGGGCGUAAAGCGUGGGAAGGCGGCUAGUCAAGACGGGUGUGAAAUCCCCGGGCUCAACCUGGGAACUGCAUUUGGGACUGCAUGGCUAGCGUGAGUCGGAGGGAGGGGGAAUUCCGCGUGUAGCAGUGAAAUGCGUAGAGAUGCGGAGGAACACCGAUGGCGAAGGCAGCCUCCUGGGAUGACACUGACGCUCAUGCACGAAAGCGUGGGGAGCAAACAGGAUUAGAUACCCGGUAGUC
This 301-nucleotide ribosomal RNA is filed under the name uncultured archaeon. RNAcentral describes it as "bacterial SSU rRNA". It matches the Rfam family "Bacterial small subunit ribosomal RNA", at positions 494 to 795 of the family's 1533-position model. The record is from RNAcentral.